This 421-nucleotide ribosomal RNA is filed under the name uncultured bacterium. RNAcentral's name for it is "bacterial SSU rRNA". It matches the Rfam family "Bacterial small subunit ribosomal RNA", at positions 355 to 774 of the family's 1533-position model. The record is from RNAcentral.
UAAGGAAUAUUGGUCAAUGGACGCAAGUCUGAACCAGCCAUGCCGCGUGAAGGAUGAAGGUCCUCUGGAUUGUAAACUUCUUUUAUCUGGGACGAAAACGGGAUUUUUAUCUCAAUUGACGGUACCAGAGGAAUAAGCACCGGCUAACUCCGUGCCAGCAGCCGCGGUAAUACGGAGGGUGCGAGCGUUAUCCGGAUUUACUGGGUUUAAAGGGUGCGUAGGUGGGCUUAUAAGUCAGUGGUGAAAUCUCCGAGCUUAACUUGGAAACUGCCGUUGAUACUAUAGGUCUUGAAUUAUCUGGAGGUAAGCGGAAUAUGUCAUGUAGCGGUGAAAUGCUUAGAUAUGACAUAGAACGCCAAUUGCGAAGGCAGCUUACUACAUAUAAAUUGACGCUGAGGCACGAAAGCGUGGGGAUCAAACA